This 699-nucleotide ribosomal RNA is filed under the name Shewanella decolorationis. Its description in RNAcentral is "partial 16S rRNA". Lineage: Bacteria; Pseudomonadati; Pseudomonadota; Gammaproteobacteria; Alteromonadales; Shewanellaceae. The record is from RNAcentral.
UCCAGGGGGCCGCCUUCGCCACCGGUAUUCCUCCAGAUCUCUACGCAUUUCACCGCUACACCUGGAAUUCUACCCCCCUCUACAAGACUCUAGUUUGCCAGUUCGAAAUGCAAUUCCCAGGUUGAGCCCGGGGCUUUCACAUCUCGCUUAACAAACCGCCUGCGCACGCUUUACGCCCAGUAAUUCCGAUUAACGCUUGGACCCUCCGUAUUACCGCGGCUGCUGGCACGGAGUUAGCCGGUCCUUCUUCUGUAGGUAACGUCACAGCUGCAAGGUAUUAACUUACGACCUUUCCUCCCUACUGAAAGUGCUUUACAACCCGAAGGCCUUCUUCACACACGCGGCAUGGCUGCAUCAGGGUUUCCCCCAUUGUGCAAUAUUCCCCACUGCUGCCUCCCGUAGGAGUCUGGGCCGUGUCUCAGUCCCAGUGUGGCUGAUCAUCCUCUCAGAACAGCUAGGGAUCGUCGCCUUGGUGAGCCAUUACCUCACCAACUAGCUAAUCCCACCUAGGUUCAUCCAAUCGCGGAAGGCCCGAAGGUCCCCUCCUUUCCCCCGUAGGGCGUAUGCGGUAUUAGCAGUCGUUUCCAACUGUUAUCCCCCACGACUGGGCAGAUCCCUAGGCAUUACUCACCCGUCCGCCGCUCGCCACCUCAGGAGUAAACUCCCUUGUGCUGCCGCUCGACUUGCAUGUGUUAGGCC